Molecule: long non-coding RNA, 809 nt
Organism: Hemicordylus capensis (graceful crag lizard)
Lineage: Eukaryota; Metazoa; Chordata; Lepidosauria; Squamata; Cordylidae
Exons: 3
Source: RefSeq, a predicted model, not a curated record
UGCUUUUUGUGCUUCAGGAGAGACGAAUCAGAGAGAGACUGCAGCAGCACUGAGAGCAGGGUGGGGGUGGUCUGGGCCUGCCUGCUUGCCUGCCUGGUCCCACACUGUUUCACUCCCCACCCCCAGGAUUUCUAGAAGUUAAUGCAAUGAAUAGAGAAUGGAUGUACCUUGUCUAUAGCAGACAGUCCAGAUGAAAGCAGGAGUGGUGAGUUAUAACAUGGAUCGACAGGGAGAUGAUUUGAUGGAAAGGAAGAUAUUUCACUUCCAAGGCAUGUCCAACCUCGCUGAAAAUUUGAAAACCAGUGCCAGGAAGCCAAUAAUUUUAUUUCAUUUUGAUUGGUUGCUGACAUCUGCAAGUAAUUAACUAAGGGAUGGGCAGCCACCGUCACAGUCAUUUCACAAGGAGUUCUCUUCUCUGUUAUCAUUUAGAGCUAAAACAUACCAAACAUUUCCCCCUCAAAACCAUAGGAGAAUGUUGGCAGUGAACAUUCAACAAGUACCUCGAUUCAGCAUCAGCACUCACCUUCUGCAGAAUGGCAACAAACAACAUUUGAUAGAAUCAGGGGAGGAACUACUAUUGGGCAAUCAUGUUCAGUAAACACAAGCCACCAGAUGGGACCAGGGGGACUGCCCAAUGGGGUCAGUGCCAGUGUCACCCAGCACUUGCCUCCACAGCCACACCCAUCCCUCCCUCUCUUCCUCCCUCAUUAGUGGUAAGUGAAGCAUGGACGAGGGAUGCUGGCAUGCAUGGAGCCAGGGCUGCGGGAGCCCACCUACCUACCCUUCUCUCUCUCUCCAUCCUCAUUGGU